This is a long non-coding RNA of Tachysurus fulvidraco (yellow catfish), 460 nucleotides long. RefSeq lists it as uncharacterized. Lineage: Eukaryota; Metazoa; Chordata; Actinopteri; Siluriformes; Bagridae. The record is from RefSeq and is a predicted model, not a curated record. The transcript has 3 exons.
GUGUGUGUCUGUGUGUGUGUGUGUGUGUGUGUGUGUGUGUGUCUGCUCUUCUGAACACGUCUCCUGCUCUCCUCUAACAGGAAGUCUCCUCUCUGAAAAACAGCAUUUUGGGUAUGAGCAUGUGGAUGAUGAGCUUCUCUCAGUAAAGUCUGGGAUCAAAGAAAAGGCUGAGUAUUAUGAUGAUGUCAUGGACACCAGUGACAUCAUAAGUGGGUGCAGUUGUUAAGUGAUCACAUAAAUUUACUGAGUUGACAUUAAACCAUGAGGUCAGAAUGUGAUGGAGCUGUUUGUACAGAGUCUCUGCUUUUAUUUCAUUUAGGUGAUCCAGGAAGAGUCGACCCACCAGAGGACUAUGAUGAUGCCGUCACUGCUGGACCCAUCCCUGAUAACGUGGAUGAGGAUGAAGCUGAGAAUUAUGAUGACGCCAUUACAGCUGAUCAGAAGUCAGUUAUACUGACAG